UUAUCUUCAUUAUACUCAGGAUAGCAUUGAAGAUCAGGGGAAUAUCACGCGGAGUGCAAAAGGGAGGAAUGGAGAAAUUAGGACUGAUAUCGAAAGUAGAGAAGUGUAGCCCAUAAUCCCUGUAAGACUUAGCUCCACUCAUAUUGUCUCGAAUAAGCUUUCCAUUUGAGCCAAAAGGAUGAGCUCAGAGUGUCAGAUAUAAGAGAAUCAAGCAAACAUAGAAAAGAAAAAGAGAAUAGGCAACUUACUUCCUGUUCGCAGGGAAAAAGGAAGGACCAACAAGCAAUUAAUGGCAACUUACUUCCUGUUCGCAGGGAAAAAGCACCGCAACAAUAUACCAACCACGCUGGAAUUGGCUGAGAAACCCUUGCAUUACCUAUUGGUAGAGUACAGGUACGUAAAUAAUGCCAGUUGGUAGAGUACAGGUAAGUAAAUAAUGCCAGUGGAAGUUAUUGGUAAUGAAUCUAAAUUGAAAGGGAAAUAAUCAAGUAUAUACUAGGGUUCGGUUACUCUGCCAGUGAGUAUAGGGUUCGUUCGGGUCAAUAAUGCGAGUAGAUUGAUUGGGGUGCGCGCUAAAGUCUCUUACCCGAUGAUGACAACUAUAGGGGCUUAUCCAUACGAGAACUUGGCUGAGCCUGAGCUAUGAAUCAAACUAGAAUUACUGUAGACCUUAAUAAGGGCAGCUGCAACUAUUCCGAUCCUAUGCCACUCUUCUCUUUAAGCGAUGAAUUCCAUCAUAAUCAUUGACGUGACUGACUAGAUACACUAAUGGCACGAUCGAAUCUUUGAAUAGAAGCAGAAGUAAUGUGCUUUCCUCGUAAGGUAAGAGAAAAGCUUUGGGCCGGGGAAUCGAGUUCAAAGGUGGAGAUCCAAGGACGAGUUCAAACAUUAAGGAAAGAGAAAAGAAUAAGAUACCACUCAAAUGUAAGGGAAAGAAAAGAAGAAGCUCAGCUAUCGUUUACUUCCAGCAAUAAAGUAGGUCACAACACUGAUUGAGCAUACAAAACCGGACUCCAUCAUUCAUCCCUGG
RNAcentral lists this long non-coding RNA (1030 nucleotides) under Musa acuminata (dwarf banana). RNAcentral's name for it is "long non-coding RNA (MACU_LNC008796)". Lineage: Eukaryota; Viridiplantae; Streptophyta; Magnoliopsida; Zingiberales; Musaceae. The record is from RNAcentral.